AACGCUAGCGGCAGGCUUAAUACAUGCAAGUCGAGGGGCAUCAAGGUACACGAAAGUGUAUUGUUGGCGACCGGCGGACGGGUGAGUAAUAGGUAGGUAACCUACCUCAUACUGAGGCAUAGCUGGGAGAAAUUCCAGGUAAAUUCCUCAUGAGGUUAUAUGACACAUGUGAUAUAAUCAAAGGUAUCGCAAGGUACUGGUAUGAGAUGGGCUUACUGACCAUUAGCUAGUUGGUGAGAUAAGAGCUCACCAAGGCGAAGAUGGUUAGGGGUUUUGAGAGAGAGAUCCCCCACAUUGGAACUGAGAUACGGUCCAGACUCCUACGGGAGGCAGCAGUAGGGAAUAUUGGGCAAUGGGCGGAAGCCUGACCCAGCCAUGCCGCGUGAAGGAAGACGGCCUUAUGGGUUGUAAACUUCUUUACUAUGCGACUAACUAGAUUUACGAGAUAAUUCUAUAGAAUGUAGCAUAGCAAAAAGCACCGGCUAACUCCGUG
RNAcentral lists this ribosomal RNA (493 nucleotides) under uncultured bacterium. Its description in RNAcentral is "bacterial SSU rRNA". It matches the Rfam family "Bacterial small subunit ribosomal RNA", at positions 32 to 507 of the family's 1533-position model. The record is from RNAcentral.